GUGCCAGCCGCCGCGGUAAGACGGAGGGUCCAAGCGUUGUUCGGCAGCAUUGGGCGUAAAGGGUGCGCAGGCGGCCAGGCAAGUCCGAUGUGAAAGCCCGGGGCUCAACCCCGGAGGUGCAUUGGAAACUGUCUGGCUUGAGUCCGGGAGGGGCCAGUGGAAUUCCUGGUGUAGGGGUGAAAUCCGUAGAUAUCAGGAGGAACACCGGCGGCGAAAGCGACUGGCUGGACCGGGACUGACGCUGAGGCACGAAAGCGCGGGUAGCGAACAGGAUUAGAAACCCGUGUAGUCC
RNAcentral lists this ribosomal RNA (292 nucleotides) under uncultured prokaryote. Its description in RNAcentral is "partial 16S ribosomal RNA". It matches the Rfam family "Bacterial small subunit ribosomal RNA", at positions 505 to 796 of the family's 1533-position model. The record is from RNAcentral.